GUUGAACGCUGGCGGCAGGCCUAACACAUGCCAGUCGAGCGGAUGAAGGGAGCUUGCUCCUGGAUUCAGCGGCGGACGGGUGAGUAAUGCCUAGGAAUCUGCCUGGUAGUGGGGGAUAACGUCCGUAAACGGGCGCUAAUACCGCAUACGUCCUGAGGGAGAAAGUGGGGGAUCUUCGGACCUCACGCUAUCAGAUGAGCCUAGGUCGGAUUAGCUAGUUGGUUGGGUAAAGGCCUACCAAGGCGACGAUCCGUAACUGGUCUGAGAGGAUGAUCAGUCACACUGGAACUGAGACACGGUCCAGACUCCUACGGGAGGCAGCAGUGGGGAAUAUUGGACAAUGGGCGAAAGCCUGAUCCAGCAAUGCCGCGUGUGUGAAGAAGGUCUUCGGAUUGUAAAGCACUUUAAGUUGGGAGGAAGGGCAGUAAGUUAAUACCUUGCUGUUUUGACGUUACCAACAGAAUAAGCACCGGCUAACUUCGUG
Molecule: ribosomal RNA, 484 nt
Filed under: uncultured bacterium
Lineage: Bacteria
Description: partial 16S ribosomal RNA
Rfam family: Bacterial small subunit ribosomal RNA
Source: RNAcentral